UACGUAGGGGGCUAGCGUUGUCCGGAAUCAUUGGGCGUAAAGAGCGUGUAGGCGGCCCGGUAAGUCCGCUGUGAAAGUCGGGGGCUCAACCCUCGGAUGCCGGUGGAUACUGUCGGGCUCGAGUACGGAAGAGGCGAGUGGAAUCCUGGUGUAGCGGUGAAAUGCGCAGAUAUCAGGAGGAACACCUAUUGCGAAGGCAGCUCGCUGGGACGUUACUGACGCUGAGACGCGAAAGCGUGGGGAGCAAACAGG
This 252-nucleotide ribosomal RNA is filed under the name uncultured bacterium. RNAcentral's name for it is "partial 16S ribosomal RNA". It matches the Rfam family "Bacterial small subunit ribosomal RNA", at positions 524 to 776 of the family's 1533-position model. The record is from RNAcentral.